UUCAAACACCAAAACAUCUACCAUAGGAAAAAAGGAAGACUUUAUUCCAAAUUAGGUAUUUAUGUUAAAUUGGACGACACACGCAGAUUAAAAUAAAUACAGUGUAAAUUAAGGUGGCAGCCACUAUUAGAAGAAAGAGGGUACUAUAGGAACAAAACAAUAACCAACUUGGCAACAAGAUACAACACAGCUCGGUUCUGUCAACUCUAAACAAAAUCUAGUAUGUAUAACCACAAAAAAUCCUAUUGGGUUAUUACCAGCAAAAGCCACGAUUGAAGAAAAAAAUAAAAU
Hippocampus comes (tiger tail seahorse) is the source of this 291-nucleotide long non-coding RNA. RefSeq lists it as uncharacterized. The transcript has 2 exons. The record is from RefSeq and is a predicted model, not a curated record. NCBI's taxonomy places the organism in Eukaryota, Metazoa, Chordata, Actinopteri, Syngnathiformes, Syngnathidae.